AUGGAUUUGUUUUGGUGUUCAUGGAGAGGCAGAUCUGGCUUUACUUUUGUCUUCUUAUGUGUGUUGUUCUUCAAUUUUGCAGGAAGUGCUCAUGUAUCAAAUUCCAGUUGUUACUCAACCUGUAGUGGAUUCCAUUUGCUGAAGAUAUCGUCCAUUGUCACCAGUGCAUCCUUCUAUCUGGCCUUCACUGAUCAGUGCUGCUGUGUGAAUUUGUGCCGCUGUGUCGAAUUGGGCGGAGGCUUCCCUGUCAAGAAGGUGCAGAGAAGCGCGGAGGACAGCUCGGUGGUAGAGGCGACGUACGAGGGUGAGCACAACCACCCGCGCCCCAUGGGGGCGGCGAGCCGAGCUUGCGCAACGCGGGGCAGAGGCUUGGUGUUGUGCUCCAUCUCCAUCAACUCCUCCGGCCCAACCACUAUGCUGGACCUCACCAAGAACGGGGGAGGCGUGCAGGUCGUCGAGGCAGGGGAGGCGCAACUGGACCUGAAGAAGGUGUGCCGGGAGGUCGCGUCGCCAGAGUUCUGGGCGGCUUUGGUGCUCCGUCCAAGGAGUCAAACCUCAUCCGCACCGCCUGCUUCUGCUUUGGGUGCGAGCGCCCAGAGAUCGUCAGGUAUCUGUCAAGAUGGGAUAUUCAGGUCGCUCUGCGUAGUGGGUGCCUCAUCAUUUACAGGAAAGUUAUUAAUUCUAGGAAGCGAUUGCGUGCUCAUGUAG
RNAcentral lists this ribosomal RNA (708 nucleotides) under Triticum aestivum (bread wheat). RNAcentral's name for it is "partial small subunit ribosomal RNA". Lineage: Eukaryota; Viridiplantae; Streptophyta; Magnoliopsida; Poales; Poaceae. The record is from RNAcentral.